AACUGAAACAAUGGAAACGGAUGAAGCCGACGUAUCUAGUGCGUAUUCAGUUGAUUGGCUGGCUGAUCUCUUUUUGGGUAUUCCGCAAGGUUGCUCGAUUUGAGUUGUUGGUUGGUUUGUCGAUGCAUUUGCGUGCAGAGUGCGGUGAGUCGGUUGAUGCCGUCGAUUGAAGUUGCUUGAGAGGACGUGCUUUUCGGAGUUGCGAAACCUUUUGCUUCGGAUGUUGAUUGGUGUUAGCCGGAUUUGUGACACAGGCCCGAGCGGGUCUGGUUUGGCUGUUGAGGCUGGCUUAUGGUGGACGCAUGCGUACGCUGUUUGACGGUUUUGACGGUUGAGCUGGAUUCUCUGUGUUCAUCUCGCUGUAUAGUUGGUCACUCAUUCGACCCGUCUUGAAACACGGACCAAGGAGUUUAUGGUGCAUGCGAGUCAUUGGGCUCUUCUUUGAAACCCAUAGGCGUAAUGAAGGUGAAAUUGUAUGGAUUUAGAUGUGAUCGGUUGUGUGUUUCGGCAUGCUCCGAGCAACAUCGCCCCAUUUCGAGAACUUGUUCUGUUGUGGAGGCUGAGCAUGCGCUAUGAGACCCGAAAGAUGGUGAACUAUGCCUGAACAGGAUGAAGCCAGAGGAAACUCUGGGUGGAAGUCCGAAGCGGUUCUGACGUGCAAAUCGAUCGUCUGAUUUUGGUAUAGGGGCGAAAGACUAAUCGAACUAUCUAGUAGCUG
This 718-nucleotide ribosomal RNA is filed under the name Potensaphelenchus stammeri. Its description in RNAcentral is "partial large subunit ribosomal RNA". It matches the Rfam family "Eukaryotic large subunit ribosomal RNA", at positions 403 to 953 of the family's 3401-position model. Lineage: Eukaryota; Metazoa; Nematoda; Chromadorea; Rhabditida; Aphelenchoididae. The record is from RNAcentral.